This 68-nucleotide transfer RNA is filed under the name Prochlorococcus marinus. It matches the Rfam family "tRNA". Rfam says of the family: Transfer RNA (tRNA) molecules are approximately 80 nucleotides in length. Their secondary structure includes four short double-helical elements and three loops (D, anti-codon, and T loops). RNAcentral also lists the same sequence under 2 other names. The record is from RNAcentral. Lineage: Bacteria; Bacillati; Cyanobacteriota; Cyanophyceae; Synechococcales; Prochlorococcaceae.
CGGGUGUAGUUCAGUGGUAGAACGUCAGCUUCCCAAGCUGAAUGUCGCCAGUUCGAGUCUGGUCAUCC